This 512-nucleotide ribosomal RNA is filed under the name uncultured bacterium. RNAcentral describes it as "bacterial SSU rRNA". It matches the Rfam family "Bacterial small subunit ribosomal RNA", at positions 33 to 518 of the family's 1533-position model. The record is from RNAcentral.
ACGCUGGCGGCGCGCCUAAUACAUGCAAGUCGAACGGCUUUUCUAUGGAAGCUUGCUUCCACUGAGAAGAUAGUGGCGAACGGGUGAGUAACACGUGGGUAACCUGCCCAUAAGAGGGGGAUAACAUCCGGAAACGGGUGCUAAUACCGCAUAGUUUUCUUGAUCGCAUGAUCGGGAAAGGAAAGACGGCCUUUGUGCUGUCGCUUAUGGAUGGACCCGCGGCGUAUUAGUUAGUUGGUGAGGUAACGGCUCACCAAGACGAUGAUACGUAGCCGACCUGAGAGGGUGAUCGGCCACAUUGGGACUGAGACACGGCCCAAACUCCUACGGGAGGCAGCAGUAGGGAAUCUUCCGCAAUGGACGAAAGUCUGACGGAGCAACGCCGCGUGAGUGAAAGAAGGUUUUCGGAUCGUAAAACUCUGUUGUCAGAGAAGAACAAGUUGGAGAGUAACUGCUCCAGCCUUGACGGUAUCUGACCAGAAAGCCACGGCUAACUACGUGCCAGCCGCCGC